AUGGCUAUGCUCCAGCGCCUCAGCAGCAUCAACCCCCUGCAUGGGAUCAAACGCAGCUCCACGCCGCCCUCAACAACUUCUCCUUGCAGCAGGGCGGCGGCGGCAGCGGCUCCAACUGGUUCUUUGACACAGGCGCGACUGCCCACAUGGCCAGCGAUCCCGGAUCGUCGUACCCGCGCGAUGAUUCUCCGAUGUAACAGCGACGACGAUCUCUAUCCGCAUGUCGCCAGCCAUCAAGCUCUUCUCGCCAGCACCACCGGUCUUUGGCACCAACGUCUUGGUCACCCCGGAGAUGAUGCUCUUUCUAGAACACUUUCUUCAUUUGAUUUUACUUGUAAUAAAUCACCCCCUACAACGUGUCAUGCUUGUAGAUUGGGGAAGCACGUUCGUCUACCUUUUAAACAAUCUGAUAGUCAAGCAAGUUUUCCUUUUGCUCUCGUUCAUUGUGAUGUUUGGACAUCUCCUAUCGUAAGUGUUUCGGGAUUUCAGUAUUAUCUUGUGAUGCUCGAUGACUACUGA
RNAcentral lists this ribosomal RNA (519 nucleotides) under Triticum aestivum (bread wheat). Its description in RNAcentral is "partial small subunit ribosomal RNA". The record is from RNAcentral. Lineage: Eukaryota; Viridiplantae; Streptophyta; Magnoliopsida; Poales; Poaceae.